CCCUGGGUGGUGAAAAUGGUGAACGCACUCUGCUGCUAACUGAGAGGCUGGAGGUUUGAGUCCACCCAGAGGCA
Molecule: transfer RNA, 74 nt
Filed under: Loxodonta africana (African savanna elephant)
Lineage: Eukaryota; Metazoa; Chordata; Mammalia; Proboscidea; Elephantidae
Rfam family: tRNA
About the family: Transfer RNA (tRNA) molecules are approximately 80 nucleotides in length. Their secondary structure includes four short double-helical elements and three loops (D, anti-codon, and T loops). Further hydrogen bonds mediate the characteristic L-shaped molecular structure. tRNAs have two regions of fundamental functional importance: the anti-codon, which is responsible for specific mRNA codon recognition, and the 3' end, to which the tRNAs corresponding amino acid is attached (by aminoacyl-tRNA synthetases). tRNAs cope with the degeneracy of the genetic code in two manners: having more than one tRNA (with a specific anti-codon) for a particular amino acid; and 'wobble' base-pairing, i.e. permitting non-standard base-pairing at the 3rd anti-codon position.
Source: Rfam by way of RNAcentral